UACGAAGGGGGCUAGCGUUGCUCGGAAUUACUGGGCGUAAAGCGUGCGCAGGCGGUUGUGCAAGACAGAUGUGAAAUCCCCGGGCUCAACCUGGGAAUUGCAUUUGUGACUGCACGGCUAGAGUGUGUCAGAGGGGGGUAGAAUUCCACGUGUAGCAGUGAAAUGCGUAGAGAUGUGGAGGAAUACCGAUGGCGAAGGCAGCCCCCUGGGAUAACACUGACGCUCAUGCACGAAGGCGUGGGGAGCAAACAGG
Molecule: ribosomal RNA, 253 nt
Filed under: uncultured bacterium
Lineage: Bacteria
Description: partial 16S ribosomal RNA
Rfam family: Bacterial small subunit ribosomal RNA
Source: RNAcentral